CAAUGAAAUAAUAAUUAUGAAGUGCUUAGCAUGUGGCUUGGCACAUAGUAAGUGCUAUAUGCAUUUUAUCUUUUAUUAUCCUGACUACUAUGCCACCCUGCCCUUUAGAGAGAUUAGAUAAUAUAUUGUCAUUUCAUCACAGUGGUGUGAUUUUGCCCAGCAGUGUUCAUCAGUGGCGGAGAUUUAGGGGAUAUUUCUACAUGGGGACGGAGAUCCAGGAGCUGAUGAGGAGAUCCAUGGACAGGAGACUGAAGGAAGCCCUUAGAAGGACAAGGGAGCUGUUUGGACACCAGAAGAGCCUUCACAUUUUCCAGUAUUGUGGAAUCGGUUUCCAGAGUGUUUCCGUUUCCUGUGAUAAAAGAAGGGUGUUUCCAAGACUCAAGCAGCUGGACAUCCCCUAACAUGUCAGGCAGGAACCUUGCAGAUAAGGGCUCAGUUGAGUCUGAGAUGCUCUCUGCAAGGAACCAAAUCUUCCCAAAGCUCCAAAAGAGAAUGCCUGGUAGUGUAUUUUAAUCUUUACAUGGCGGUAUGUUGGUUGUUUCUGUUGCUGAUAUUGGUAUUGCUUUUAUUAUUGUUGUUGUUGUUUUGGUUAUUAAGCUCGCUUAUAAAGCCUUCCCUUGUCCAUAGUGACCGCUGCUGCUUUUCGCUGUCCCCGACCAUAGUGCUGAAGUAGUUCCCUGCUCCUUGGCUUUCCCUGGCCAUGGUGCUGACAGUAAUAUCAACUUCUAUCUCUUCAUAGAAGCUCUGGCCCUUGGUGUCUGUGUGGUGGUGUGGGGGAUGGAUGUGAGAUGGCACUUGAUUAGACUCUAGAAUCCUUAGGGUUCCUGGGAUUUCUCACUAGCUAAAAGACCCUGGGAUUGGGGAGGGAUCUUGUUUUCUUCUGCUGCUUUGCUCGGUUGUCUUCUCUUCCAGCCACUAAGGACCCAACCUGGACAGUUCACAAGCCCAUCCAGGGUCUGGAGCCUCAGAAAUGCCUGUCUUGAUUCUUUCUUGCUGUCAGCCAGUUGAUUGGACACCUCCAG
Molecule: long non-coding RNA, 1022 nt
Filed under: Phascolarctos cinereus (koala)
Lineage: Eukaryota; Metazoa; Chordata; Mammalia; Diprotodontia; Phascolarctidae
Description: lncRNA (ENSPCIG00000020958.2)
Source: RNAcentral